RNAcentral lists this transfer RNA (54 nucleotides) under Anabaena cylindrica PCC 7122. It matches the Rfam family "tRNA", at positions 10 to 63 of the family's 71-position model. Rfam says of the family: Transfer RNA (tRNA) molecules are approximately 80 nucleotides in length. Their secondary structure includes four short double-helical elements and three loops (D, anti-codon, and T loops). Lineage: Bacteria; Bacillati; Cyanobacteriota; Cyanophyceae; Nostocales; Nostocaceae. The record is from Rfam by way of RNAcentral.
GCUCAACGGUAGAGCGAUCAUCUAGUAAAUGAUAAGUGCAGGUUCAAUUCCUGC